This 253-nucleotide ribosomal RNA is filed under the name uncultured bacterium. RNAcentral describes it as "partial 16S ribosomal RNA". It matches the Rfam family "Bacterial small subunit ribosomal RNA", at positions 524 to 776 of the family's 1533-position model. The record is from RNAcentral.
UACGAAGGGGGCUAGCGUUGUUCGGAAUUACUGGGCGUAAAGGGCGCGUAGGCGGCUUGGCAAGUUGGGUGUGAAAGCCCAGGGCUCAACCCUGGAAUUGCACUCAAGACUGCUUUGCUUGAAUUCGGUAGAGGUUGGUGGAAUUCCCAGUGUAGAGGUGAAAUUCGUAGAGAUUGGGAAGAACACCCGUGGCGAAGGCGGCCAACUGGACCAGCACUGACACUGAGGCACGAAAGCGUGGGGAGCAAACAGG